This 326-nucleotide ribosomal RNA is filed under the name Felis catus (domestic cat). RNAcentral's name for it is "partial 16S ribosomal RNA". It matches the Rfam family "Bacterial large subunit ribosomal RNA", at positions 1968 to 2469 of the family's 2925-position model. Lineage: Eukaryota; Metazoa; Chordata; Mammalia; Carnivora; Felidae. The record is from RNAcentral.
UUUGUUCCCUAAAUAGGGACUUGUAUGAACGGCCCACGAGGGCUUUACUGUCUCUUACUUCCAAUCCGUGAAAUUGACCUUCCCGUGAAGAGGCGGGAAUAUAAUAAUAAGACGAGAAGACCCUAUGGAGCUUUAAUUAACCGACCCAAAGAGACCAUAUGAACCAACCGACAGGAACAACAAACCUCUAUAUGGGCCGGCAAUUUAGGUUGGGGUGACCUCGGAGAACAAAACAACCUCCGAGUGAUUUAAAUCUAGACUAACCAGUCGAAAGUACUACAUCACUUAUUGAUCCAAAAACCUUGAUCAACGGAACAAGUUACCCU